Lutra lutra (Eurasian river otter) is the source of this 301-nucleotide long non-coding RNA. RefSeq lists it as uncharacterized. Lineage: Eukaryota; Metazoa; Chordata; Mammalia; Carnivora; Mustelidae. The transcript has 4 exons. The record is from RefSeq and is a predicted model, not a curated record.
GUAGAGGGAGAGGAUGAAGGAGAAGCAGGCUCCCCACUGAGCAGGGAACCAGAUGCAGGGCUGGAUCCCAGGACCCUGGACAGAUGCUGUACUGAGGGAGCCACCCAGGCACCCUGUGAGAGUUUUUAGACCUAGGAUGCAGAUGUGUGGAGGGCCAUGGCUGACUUGAAUGCUGUUGGGGUCAUCUCACAGCACAUGGCAUACACAAUUUAUCUUGCUUCCUGUCUUUAUAACAACGUCUUGGUUUUCAUGCUGUCUUAGAACAAGUAGAACUUGACUUACAUAGGUAGAGCCUGAUGCA